GCUAGACCUGUUCUUGGGGUUGGAAGCCAGACCACCCCACCUCUUAGACCGCCCACUACUAUAGUGACUGAGGAUUGGGAACAAUUCGAAUAGAGUAGCUAUAUACGUUUCCAUUUUAUGAUUUUUGAAGAAACAAAAAAUGCCAGUUAUUUAGGCACUACUGACCACUAUUAUUUUGUCAUCUAUACUGUCGUUACAGUAAAAUAUUUUUGGUGGA
RNAcentral lists this unclassified non-coding RNA (217 nucleotides) under Hevea brasiliensis (rubber tree). Lineage: Eukaryota; Viridiplantae; Streptophyta; Magnoliopsida; Malpighiales; Euphorbiaceae. The record is from RNAcentral.